AUUGAACGCUGGCGGCAGGCUUAACACAUGCAAGUCGAGCGAGCGGAGGACGGGUGAGUAAUGUCUGGGAAACUGCCUGAGGGAGGGGGAUCACUAAUGGAAACGGUAGCUAAUACCGCAAACCAUCAGAAGUGCCCAGAUGGGUUUAGCUAGUAGGUGGGGUAAUGGCUAACCUAGGCGACGAUCCCUAGCUGGUCUGAGAGGAUGACCAGCCAAACUGGGACGGAGCCACGGUCCAGACUCCUACGGUGGGCAGCAGUGGGGAAUAUUGCACAAUGGGCGCAAGCCUGAUGCAGCCAUGCCGCGGGUAUGAAGAAGGCCUUCGGGUUGUAAAGCACUUUCAGCGAGGAGGCGUUACUCGCAGAAGAAGCACCGGCUAACGCCGUGCCAGCAGCCGCGGUAAUAC
This 406-nucleotide ribosomal RNA is filed under the name uncultured bacterium. Its description in RNAcentral is "partial 16S ribosomal RNA". It matches the Rfam family "Bacterial small subunit ribosomal RNA", at positions 29 to 526 of the family's 1533-position model. The record is from RNAcentral.